Long non-coding RNA from Serinus canaria (Common canary), 1165 nucleotides. RefSeq lists it as uncharacterized. Lineage: Eukaryota; Metazoa; Chordata; Aves; Passeriformes; Fringillidae. The record is from RefSeq and is a predicted model, not a curated record. The transcript is spliced from 3 exons.
GACAGAACUUUAGACAAUUCCCUCUGAGUUGAGUUUUUACUAAUAGGGUUUUUAAAGAACUAUUUCUAAAAUUACAAAUGGUUUGGUUUAUUGAUUUUUUAUUUUUUUUUUUGUCUGCAUGGAUUUGACAUGAAUAUGCAACAAGGUAUGUAAAGACAUUGUUUACAAACAGCCAGUAGCUUUCAAGAUUAAUUUAAAAUAUUAAAUUAUAUAGAUACAAUAGGGAGACAUCUUUAAAGAGGAACCCCUAGAUGUAGUUGGAAGAGAAAAUAGUAUUCUAAUACUAGUUUUAUUUUUAAAAGUCCAAUUUAACAUGCAGAAAAGAGAAGUUCAAGUCUCUGAAGUGUGUGGUUAUUUGAGUUUUAGAGUUUUAUUCACUGAUACUGCAAUCUAUGUCUCCUUUAUGUAUAUUUCUUAUUUUUUCUGGUAAAUUAAAACUAUCAAAAGUUGCUCAGAGUCUCUUGAGGUUUUCUUUUGGUUUAAGGUUUGUAGGCAAAAAUUUUUAAUUGGUGAUACACAUAUGUAACAGAGGUGCAAUGAUUUGAAGGAGGAAAAUAUAUCACAAAAUAGGAAUUUUUUAAUAACUAUAAUUGAUUUCCUUAUUCCUAGAAAGGAAGAGUCUACAGCCCAUUUCUGGCAGUAUUUCAUGCCAUUUGAAACAGAGAGAAUUUUAUGAGGGGAAGGAGGAGCUGGGAGAGCAAUCUCAGCUUAUUCACUCAGAAUAAGAUGAGCUGAGCCUGGUAAAUGUAACCUGAUGAGAACCAUUGACCCAAACAAACUGUCCAGGCUGAAUUUCCAAUCCCAUCCUACCAACGCUGCUGUCUGUUACCACAGGUCAGGGAAAAAAAAGACAGAAAGUCUGGGAGAUGUGCAAAAGCUACAAUGGGUUCCCAAAUUAAAACCCUGUGUUUUAUUGCAGGUAAAAUCCACACUCCCAGUGCAGCACAGCCUUGUCAGAAAUGGUGGAGGUGAAAGUUACCGUGAAAGGGAGUAAGUUUUCUGUGUCUGUCAGCAAAUCUAUCCCAGCCUCAAGAAGACAUUUUAGCAAUGGUACUGAUCCCUCCAAACACAGCAAAAGAAAGUAAUUCUGACAAAUUUGCAUCCCAAAACAGGUAUGAAAGUGCCUAAAUUGCUUUGAAAUACAUAAUCCUAAUUCUGACUUUUC